GGCUCGAUCGAUGAUUCAACACUCUUUUCCAUAUGUUCAUAGUUCGAUAAUAUAUCUACCAUCAUGACCUACGUCUAUCCAUCCUAUCGAGACAUUUCGGGCUGACCAAUGCUUCAUCCAACCCAAAGGAAAUGAAAAGAGAUCAUUCUCAUAUAUUAAGCUUUUCUUAGUCUUUUAGGCAUCUAAUGAAUUCCCACAUGCUCUCGAACGACGGUUCUCGUUUCUUGCAGUAGAGAU
RNAcentral lists this long non-coding RNA (237 nucleotides) under Elaeis guineensis (African oil palm). RNAcentral describes it as "long non-coding RNA (EGUI_LNC005829)". Lineage: Eukaryota; Viridiplantae; Streptophyta; Magnoliopsida; Arecales; Arecaceae. The record is from RNAcentral.